This 252-nucleotide ribosomal RNA is filed under the name uncultured bacterium. RNAcentral describes it as "partial 16S ribosomal RNA". It matches the Rfam family "Bacterial small subunit ribosomal RNA", at positions 524 to 776 of the family's 1533-position model. The record is from RNAcentral.
UACGUAGGGGGCAAGCGUUGUCCGGAAUCAUUGGGCGUAAAGAGCGUGUAGGCGGCUCGGUAAGUCCGCUGUGAAAGUCCAGGGCUCAACCCUGGAAUGCCGGUGGAAACUGUCGAGCUAGAGUCCGGAAGAGGCGAGUGGAAUUCCUGGUGUAGCGGUGAAAUGCGCAGAUAUCAGGAGGAACACCAAUGGCGAAGGCAGCUCGCUGGACGGUACUGACGCUGAGACGCGAAAGCGUGGGGAGCAAACAGG